AGCUUUCUGAAUCCAUGUGGAGACUUCGUCAGACACCAACCCAAGGGCUGACAAGACUUCUAAGAUAAAUGAAGUU
This is a non-coding RNA of Schistosoma haematobium, 76 nucleotides long. The record is from Rfam. NCBI's taxonomy places the organism in Eukaryota, Metazoa, Platyhelminthes, Trematoda, Strigeidida, Schistosomatidae.